This 447-nucleotide ribosomal RNA is filed under the name uncultured bacterium. RNAcentral describes it as "partial 16S ribosomal RNA". It matches the Rfam family "Bacterial small subunit ribosomal RNA", at positions 29 to 523 of the family's 1533-position model. The record is from RNAcentral.
AACGAACGCUGGCGGCAGGCUUAACACAUGCAAGUCGAACGCCCCGCAAGGGGAGUGGCAGACGGGUGAGUAACGCGUGGGAAGCUACCCAGUUCUACGGAACAAGUGAGGGAAACUUCAGCUAAUACCGUAUACGCCCUACGGGGGAAAGAUUUAUCGGAAUUGGGUGAGCCCGCGUAAGAUUAGCUAGUUGGUGGGGUAAAGGCCUACCAAGGCGAUGAUCUUUAGCUGGGCUGAGGGGAUGAUCAGCCACACUGGGACUGAGACACGGCCCAGACUCCUACGGGAGGCAGCAGUGUGGAAUAUUGGACAAUGUGCGCAAGCUUGAUCCAGCCAUGCCGCGUGAGUGAUGAAGGCCUUAGGGUUGUAAAGCUCUUUCAGUGGGGACGAUAAUGACGGUACCCACAGAAGAAGCCCCGGCUAACUUCGUGCCAGCCGCCGCGGUAA